This 71-nucleotide transfer RNA is filed under the name Planctomycetaceae bacterium. RNAcentral's name for it is "tRNA-Gln". It matches the Rfam family "tRNA". From Rfam's summary of the family: Transfer RNA (tRNA) molecules are approximately 80 nucleotides in length. Their secondary structure includes four short double-helical elements and three loops (D, anti-codon, and T loops). The record is from RNAcentral. Lineage: Bacteria; Pseudomonadati; Planctomycetota; Planctomycetia; Planctomycetales; Planctomycetaceae.
UGGGGAAUUGUGUAAAGGCAGCACGAAUGGCUCUGAACCAUUUAGUCGGGGUUCGAAUCCCUGUUCCCCAG